This 753-nucleotide ribosomal RNA is filed under the name uncultured marine bacterium. RNAcentral describes it as "bacterial SSU rRNA". It matches the Rfam family "Bacterial small subunit ribosomal RNA", at positions 94 to 883 of the family's 1533-position model. The record is from RNAcentral.
AGCGGCGGACGGGUGAGUAACGCGUGGGAAUGUGCCCUUCUCUACGGAAUAGCCACUGGAAACGGUGAGUAAUACCGUAUACGCCCUCAGGGGGAAAGAUUUAUCGGAGAAGGAUCAGCCCGCGUUAGAUUAGGUAGUUGGUGGGGUAACGGCCUACCAAGCCUACGAUCUAUAGCUGGUUUUAGAGGAUGAUCAGCCACACUGGGACUGAGACACGGCCCAGACUCCUACGGGAGGCAGCAGUAGGGAAUCUUGGACAAUGGGGGCAACCCUGAUCCAGCCAUGCCGCGUGAGUGAUGAAGGCCCUAGGGUUGUAAAACUCUUUCAUCGGUGAAGAUAAUGACGGUAGCCGAAGAAGAAGUCCCGGCUAACUCCGUGCCAGCAGCCGCGGUAAUACGGAGGGGACUAGCGUUGUUCGGAAUUACUGGGCGUAAAGCGCGCGUAGGCGGACUGGUCAGUUGGGGGUGAAAUCCCGAGGCUUAACCUCGGAACUGCCUUCAAUACUGCCAGUCUUGAGUUCGGAAGAGGUGAGUGGAAUUCCUAGUGUAGAGGUGAAAUUCAUAGAUAUUAGGAAGAACACCAGUGGCGAAGGCGACUCACUGGUCCGAUACUGACGCUGAGGUGCGAAAGCGUGGGGAGCGAACAGGAUUAGAUACCCUGGUAGUCCACGCCGUAAACGAUGGAUGCUAGCCGUUGGACAGUAUACUGUUCGGUGGCGCAGUUAACGCAUUAAGCAUCCCGCCUGGGGAGUAC